ACAGCAGUAGCCGCGGUAACACGUAGGUGGCAAGCGUUGUCCGGAAUUAUUGGGCGUAAAGGGCUCGCAGGCGGUUUCUUAAGUCUGAUGUGAAAGCCCCCGGCUCAACCGGGGAGGGUCAUUGGAAACUGGGAAACUUGAGUGCAGAAGAGGAGAGUGGAAUUCCACGUGUAGCGGUGAAAUGCGUAGAGAUGUGGAGGAACACCAGUGGCGAAGGCGACUCUCUGGUCUGUAACUGACGCUGAGGAGCGAAAGCGUGGGGAGCGAACAGGAUUAGAUACCCCAGUAGUCCCUGUCUCUUAUAC
This 305-nucleotide ribosomal RNA is filed under the name uncultured bacterium. Its description in RNAcentral is "partial 16S ribosomal RNA". It matches the Rfam family "Bacterial small subunit ribosomal RNA", at positions 506 to 807 of the family's 1533-position model. The record is from RNAcentral.